CCGCGGUAAUACGGAGGGUGCAAGCGUUACUCGGAAUCACUGGGCGUAAAGGGCGCGUAGGCGGAUUAUCAAGUCUCUUGUGAAAUCUAAUGGCUUAACCAUUAAACUGCUUGGGAAACUGAUAGUCUAGAGUGAGGGAGAGGCAGAUGGAAUUGGUGGUGUAGGGGUAAAAUCCGUAGAUAUCACCAAGAAUACCCAUUGCGAAGGCGAUCUGCUGGAACUCAACUGACGCUAAGGCGCGAAAGCGUGGGGAGCAAACAGGAUUAGAUACCCUGGUAGUCCACGCCCUAAACGAUGUACACUAGUUGUUGGGGUGCUAGUCAUCUCAGUAAUGCAGCUAACGCAUUAAGUGUACCGCCUGGGGAGUACGGUCGCAAGAUUAAAACUCAAAGGAAUAGACGGGGACCCGCACAAGCGGUGGAGCAUGUGGUUUAAUUCGAAGAUACGCGAAGAACCUUACCUGGGCUUGAUAUCCUAAGAACCUUUUAGAGAUAAGAGGGUGCUAGCUUGCUAGAACUUAGAGACAGGUGCUGCACGG
This 538-nucleotide ribosomal RNA is filed under the name Leptospira borgpetersenii serovar Tarassovi. Its description in RNAcentral is "bacterial SSU rRNA". It matches the Rfam family "Bacterial small subunit ribosomal RNA", at positions 515 to 1048 of the family's 1533-position model. Lineage: Bacteria; Pseudomonadati; Spirochaetota; Leptospiria; Leptospirales; Leptospiraceae. The record is from RNAcentral.